ACACACACACACACACACACACACACACCUCAACACACUCACUUCAAGGAAGCUCUCUUGCUUUAGUCUAUAGUUUAGAGGAGUUUAGGAGAAGUCUAGGAGUCAUCGAGUCCUCGGAGUUGCUUAGCAGUUCUGUGGUAGGUGACGUGCCCGUCGAUAGCGAGACGCCAGCGGUGACUUUGUCAAUAUCGAGGAUCUGCCGGCUCAGUCUCUUGGAAGUGCUCAUAGGGGGUGGAUAGCAUGUAUCUAUUUGUUGGGGUGAGUGUGCAUGCGUUUGUACUGUGUUUCUUAAAAAAAGAACGCACCAUGUUUUUGAAGAUCUGAUCGGGAAAUCAGACGGUAACCAUGCAUAUAUGCUAGCUGGCUGGGGCAUCUUGACAUUUAGUAGGUCUAUUAUCUAGGAUCUGUACGGUUAUCGAUCACAUAAGUAUAUUUACUUGGAUCCGCA
This is a long non-coding RNA of Panicum virgatum (switchgrass), 448 nucleotides long. RefSeq lists it as uncharacterized. The transcript is spliced from 2 exons. NCBI's taxonomy places the organism in Eukaryota, Viridiplantae, Streptophyta, Magnoliopsida, Poales, Poaceae. The record is from RefSeq and is a predicted model, not a curated record.